AUACGUAGGUGACAAGCGUUAUCCGGAUUUACUGGGCGUAAAGGGCGUGUAGGCGGUCUUGCAAGUCAGAAGUGAAAUUCCUGAGCUCAACUCGGGCACUGCUUCUGAAACUGCAGGACUUGAGUGCUGGAGGGGAUAGCGGAAUUCCUAGUGGAGCGGUAAAAUGCGCAGAUAUUAGGAAGAACACCGGUGGCGAAGGCGGCUAGCUGGAACGACCCUGGCGGUGAGAGACGAAAGCUAGGGGAGCAAAACGGAUUAGAUACCCGGGUAUUACUAGCCGUAAACGAUGCGGACUUGGUGUUGGGAUGGCUUUGAGCCGCUUCGGUGCCGAAGGGAAGCUGUUAAGUCCGCCGCCUGGGAAGUACGGUCGCAAGACUGAAACUUAAAUGAAUGGGCGGGG
Molecule: ribosomal RNA, 400 nt
Filed under: uncultured bacterium
Lineage: Bacteria
Description: partial 16S ribosomal RNA
Rfam family: Bacterial small subunit ribosomal RNA
Source: RNAcentral